RNAcentral lists this ribosomal RNA (304 nucleotides) under uncultured bacterium. RNAcentral's name for it is "partial 16S ribosomal RNA". It matches the Rfam family "Bacterial small subunit ribosomal RNA", at positions 506 to 809 of the family's 1533-position model. The record is from RNAcentral.
CAGCAGCCGCCGCGGUAAAACGUAGGUGGCAAGCGUUGUCCGGAACUAUUGGGCGUAAAGCGCGCGCAGGUGGUUUAAUAAGUCUGAUGUGAAAGCCCACGGCUCAACCGUGGAGGGUCAUUGGAAACUGUUAAACUUGAGUGCAGGAGAGAAAAGUGGAAUUCCUAGUGUAGCGGUGAAAUGCGUAGAGAUUAGGAGGAACACCAGUGGCGAAGGCGGCUUUUUGGCCUGUAACUGACACUGAGGCGCGAAAGCGUGGGGGGCAAACAGGAUUAGAUACCUCAGUAGUCCCUGUCUCUUAUAA